Molecule: ribosomal RNA, 429 nt
Filed under: Acidobacteriota bacterium
Lineage: Bacteria; Pseudomonadati; Acidobacteriota
Description: Acidobacteria bacterium partial 16S ribosomal RNA
Rfam family: Bacterial small subunit ribosomal RNA
Source: RNAcentral
UGGGGAAUUUUGGACAAUGGGGGAAACCCUGAUCCAGCCAUCCCGCGUGUGCGAUGAAGGCCUUCGGGUUGUAAAGCACUUUUGGCAGGCAAGAAACGUCAUGGGUUAAUACCCCGUGAAACUGACGGUACCUGCAGAAUAAGCACCGGCUAACUACGUGCCAGCAGCCGCGGUAAUACGUAGGGUGCAAGCGUUAAUCGGAAUUACUGGGCGUAAAGCGUGCGCAGGCGGUUCGGAAAGAAAGAUGUGAAAUCCCAGAGCUCAAGUUUGGAACUGCAUUUUUAACUACAGGGCUAGAGUGUGUCAGAGGGAGGUGGAAUUCCGCGUGUAGCAGUGAAAUGCGUAGAUAUGCGGGGGAACACCGAUGGCGAAGGCAGGCUCCUGGGAUAACACUGACGCUCAUGCACGAAAGCGUGGGGAGCAAACAGG